UGUCCAGACUCCUACGGGAGGCAGCAGUGAGGAAUAUUGGUCAAUGGGCGCGAGCCUGAACCAGCCAAGUCGCGUGAGGGAAGACGGUCCUAUGGAUUGUAAACCUCUUUUGUCGGGGAGCAAAAGACGCCACGCGUGGCGUUCCGAGAGUACCCGGAGAAAAAGCAUCGGCUAACUCCGUGCCAGCAGCCGCGGUAAUACGGAGGAUGCGAGCGUUAUCCGGAUUUAUUGGGUUUAAAGGGUGCGUAGGCGGGAUGCCAAGUCAGCGGUAAAAAUGCGGUGCUCAACGCCGUCGAGCCGUUGAAACUGGCGUUCUUGAGUGGGCGAGAAGUAUGCGGAAUGCGUGGUGUAGCGGUGAAAUGCAUAGAUAUCACGCAGAACUCCGAUUGCGAAGGCAGCAUGCCGGCUCCACACUGACGCUGAGGCACGAAAGCGUGGGUAUCGAACAGGAUUAGAUACCCUUGUA
Molecule: ribosomal RNA, 466 nt
Filed under: uncultured bacterium
Lineage: Bacteria
Description: bacterial SSU rRNA
Rfam family: Bacterial small subunit ribosomal RNA
Source: RNAcentral